GACGAACGCUGGCGGCGCGCUUAACACAUGCAAGUCGAACGGAAAGGCCUGCUUUCCCUUGUGGAUUGCGGGUACUCGAGUGGCGAACGGGUGAGUAACACGUGAGUGAUCUGCCCCCAACUUGGGUAUAAGCCUGGGAAACUGGGUCUAAUUCCCGAUAGGACUGCAGGGUGGUGCCUGUGGUGGAACACGAUUUUCUAGUGGUUGGGGAUGAGCUCGCGGCCUAUCAGCUUGGUGGUGGGGUAAUGGCCUACCAAGGCGGCGACGGGUAGCCGGCCUGAGAGGGUGGACGGUCACAGUGGGACUGAGAUACGGCCCAGACUGCUACGGGAGGCAGCAGUGGGGAAUAGUGCACAAUGGGCGGAAGCCUGAUGCAGCGACGCAGCGUGGGGGAUGACGGCCUUCGGGUUGUAAACUCCUUUCGACCGCGAGGAAGCCACCUGGUUGGAAGGGUGGUGACGGUAGUGGUAGAAGAAGCACCGGCUAACUACGUG
RNAcentral lists this ribosomal RNA (494 nucleotides) under uncultured bacterium. Its description in RNAcentral is "partial 16S ribosomal RNA". It matches the Rfam family "Bacterial small subunit ribosomal RNA", at positions 28 to 507 of the family's 1533-position model. The record is from RNAcentral.